Musa acuminata AAA Group (dessert banana) is the source of this 2998-nucleotide RNA transcript. RefSeq lists it as uncharacterized. The record is from RefSeq and is a predicted model, not a curated record. NCBI's taxonomy places the organism in Eukaryota, Viridiplantae, Streptophyta, Magnoliopsida, Zingiberales, Musaceae. The transcript has 3 exons.
AGCCUCGUACGUCCCCGUCCGCGUGUUCCACUCACCGUCAGUAAUCCACGACCGCCCCUGCUUGGGGUUCACCAAUCCCGGUAGGUGGGCAUUGGCGGGGCACCGUACACGAUGUGUCCGUUGCGCCUCGUCCUGGUGUUCCUCUCCGCCGCCCUCGCUGGAUUCUUCGCCUGGAAAUCGAUCCGCUCCCCUCCCCCUUCCCCGAUCUCCGAUGACUCCCAGGAGGUCGGCGCCUCCCUCGGCGACUCCUCCAUCAAAGGCCGGAUCCUCGGCGCUGGAAAGGUGAUUGAGAAUGGGUACUGGGUGUUUCUUGAUAUGGCCAGCGGGAGGUACUUGUGGAGGGCGAUGAAAGAAAGGUGAGAAGUUGGACGAAAUCGAUGAUUUGGGGGUUCUUUUGGAGCACGCACUCGGUAUCCUUUUUCGAUGAAAUUGGAUAGUGUUCUAUGCAUUGGAUUGCAAUUUAGCUGAUGUGCCUCGGAAUUCGAUUUAAAGUUGUUGUUUCCUGUUCGAAUGAUUGUCUCUUGAGAUCCGAUUCAUUGUUUGUGGUGAUUAUUGUCGUAGUCUCGUCGAUUUAUAUGCUAUACUAUGAAUUUGUCUUAUUAGACGGUGUUAAAUCGAUCAAAAACAUCAAAAAAUUAGCUUUUAAUUUGCCAAUGUAAUGUCUUGUUUUUCUUAUCUCGUUCUUUGAAGAUUCAGUUGAUGAGCAACAAAUUGUACUCUGACAUAGGUCUUGGUUUCAUCAGUCUUUAUCAGAAUCCAGAAAACUAUCUCUUCCAUUUUAAUUUCGUGUUCAUGAGCUCAAACUGAUUGAUAAUAAACCUGACAAGAAAACAGUAGAGAGUAGAAGACACUGAAGGCAAAAAAAUAACUUGCUUCGAUAUGUACCCAUAAAUCCAUAGAAGCAGCAAAUAGAGAAUUUGGACUUUGAUGGUUGCAUUGACAAGGUUCCAUUGCUCGACAAAGACUAUCGUAUCAUCGACAUUUAUGGGAAUUUUAUAGUGAUAUUGUUGGCUUUGAUUCUUGCACUAUAUAUGUAGCAAUCUCUCGACGAAAAAUUUGUUGGAGAAACUUAAUGUUACUUCCUUGAAGGUUAACAUUUGCUAUACUUAUUGUGGUUGCCUAUUCUUUGGCAAUUAUACUUUUGUGUCAAUUCAUUUGACUCGCCUUUCUGAUUUCUCAUCGGUUGACAUCAUUUUUUAUACUAGUUAUUUAUUUCCUUUUCUAUCUAAGCGAAUAUUCGCCAGCUUCUCCCUUUUUUUUUCCGACAUGAAAGAUGCCAUCAUGUACUUUUAUGGAGGAAUUGCAUCAAAAAAUUUCAAGGUUUUAUGUUCAAUCCUAGUAAGAGAUGUAUGCUGUUGGAUCAUUUUCUACCACCAGAUUCUUGUCCUCGGAUACCCAUAGAUGAAGCUUUGUGAAGCUCUCUGCCUUAUCCUUACUCGAUGCAUUAAUCUAGCAUAUACAUUCGUUGCCACCUUUCUGUAAUUUGUUGCUGCCUUAUCAUGUCGUCGUUUUAUUAAAAGCACUUCAAUUCUUUCUUCUCUGUCAUAUAUUUAAAUAACUUUCGCCAUGAAUUCACUUUGUUUUCUACAAUUAUAUGUUCAUCGACACUCCUAUAUCUGAAAAUAUUGCCUUGUUAAUUUAAUAGCAAAUUUUAUCGGCUUCAAAGGUUCGUUACUUGCACGUUCGUAUAUCCUCAAUGAAAUCGCUACCGAAGCUACCAUAAUCAGAUGUUCGAGGUCUUAUUUUCAUUUAAUAUCCUAUGAAAAGUUCUUUGUUUUAUUCCUUCGAUGUAUAUGCUGUAAGCGAUGCCAGAUUAUAGGUAUUUACGAGCAGAAGUUGCAGCCUUCGUUUAAUGUAAGAAACAAUCGCCAUCAUCAAGAUCAUAUCUUGACUGUUUCUGUAUGAACAAAAAGCUAAGCUUCGCGGUGCAAUGCCAUUUAUUGUAAUCUAUUUUGUUUCUAAUGGAAAUGAGGUUGAUGUCAACUUUGUCGACAUUCUGUUUCUUAUGUGAUGCCAAGUAAAUUACCAGUAAGCAAGCCUUUGGAUGAUCUCUUUUGGAGAUACAUGACAAGAACAGAGCCAGUGAUUCCAACCUUCUUAUAUACACUUCUGUUCUCUAGCAAAUGGUAAGUAAUGCUUAAGCUUAGCCGAGAGGCACAUGCCCUUGAGAAAGCAUGAAUUGGAAAUCUGGCAUCGCAGCGCCACGCUUUCUUCUGGAGUGAGAGGCUAGAAGGCAUUGGUUGCAUGAUCAGGUAAUUGGUGAUCAUACAUUGCCAUUUGGAUUGCUUUCAGUGGUUUCCAGGAUCUCAAUCUCCCACUUGUACAAGCAUCUGAUUCCACCCUCCACCAAUAAGUUUGGUUCAUGCAGAACAAUCUUUUUGAUGGAACUGUAUGUUACUCGUACUGCUUGGAAUAGAUUCUCUUCUUUCUCCAGAAAAUGUACUCAACCCUGUAUAUGAGCAAAUUGCAUGAGAAUUGUCAGGUCUCAAAGCAGAGGGGCUGGGGCUGCUGCAUGGGGAGGGCUUCUUCCACAGACAGACUCGUCGCCAUCGCGUUGGGGCUCCUCGCGGUGCUGUCGCCGCUGUACGUCAACAGGAAAACGACGGUCAAGCCGGAUGAUGAAGACGACGGCAGCGGAGCUCUUCUGUCCCUGUGGCUCCCGCUGGCGCUCAUACUUCUGGUCGUCAUCAUCAACCUCGCAUGGUUCGUGGAGCGGAGGAUCGUGAGGCUCGACCCCUACUGGAUACACAGGUUCGGAGGGUCUUCCUGUGGGAUCAUGAUACUGCUCUUGGUUCUUGGAGUCUUGUUGAAAUGUAAAGCUUCUCUGGGAGGUUGAUCUUGAUGUUGCUGUCUGUUAGUUUACUGGCAUUUCGUCAAACACAUGUAGCGAAGAAGAUGGAGGAGUGUUUGUGGAAUCAACCUGUUGGGUUUUCACCCCUGGAAUGAACUGCUAAGAUUUCUGAUUGUAAUUAUGAAAAGUUGUGCUCCUCUUUCAUCA